RNAcentral lists this ribosomal RNA (429 nucleotides) under uncultured bacterium. RNAcentral describes it as "bacterial SSU rRNA". It matches the Rfam family "Bacterial small subunit ribosomal RNA", at positions 772 to 1198 of the family's 1533-position model. The record is from RNAcentral.
ACCGAAUAGAUACCCGGGUAGUCCACGCCCUAAACGAUGCGAACUGGAUGUUGGGUACAUUACGGUACUCAGUGUCGAAAGCUAAACGCGUUAAGUUCGCCGCCUGGGGAGUACGGUCGCAAGACUGAAACUCAAAGGAAUUGACGGGGGCCCGCACAAGCGGUGGAGUAUGUGGUUUAAUUCGAUGCAACGCGAAGAACCUUACCUGGCCUUGACAUCUGUCGAAUCCUGCAGAGAUGCGGGAGUGCCGCAAGGAACGACAAGACAGGUGCUGCAUGGCUGUCGUCAGCUCGUGUCGUGAGAUGUUGGGUUAAGUCCCGCAACGAGCGCAACCCUUGUUCCUAGUUGCCAGCACGUAAUGGUGGGAACUCUAGGGAGACUGCCGGUGACAAACCGGAGGAAGGUGGGGAUGACGUCAAGUCCUCAUGG